This 700-nucleotide ribosomal RNA is filed under the name bacterium enrichment culture clone B3-47. RNAcentral's name for it is "bacterial SSU rRNA". It matches the Rfam family "Bacterial small subunit ribosomal RNA", at positions 28 to 774 of the family's 1533-position model. The record is from RNAcentral.
AACGAACGCUGGCGGCAGGCCUAACACAUGCAAGUCGAGCGAGAUCUUCGGAUCUAGCGGCGGACGGGUGAGUAACGCGUGGGAAUAUGCCCUUUGGUACGGAAUAGCCUCGGGAAACUGGGAGUAAUACCGUAUGUGCCCCUCGGGGGAAAGAUUUAUCGCCAAAGGAUUAGCCCGCGUUGGAUUAGGUAGUUGGUGGGGUAAUGGCCUACCAAGCCUACGAUCCAUAGCUGGUUUGAGAGGAUGAUCAGCCACACUGGGACUGAGACACGGCCCAGACUCCUACGGGAGGCAGCAGUGGGGAAUCUUAGACAAUGGGGGAAACCCUGAUCUAGCCAUGCCGCGUGAUCGAUGAAGGCCUUAGGGUUGUAAAGAUCUUUCAGCUGGGAAGAUAAUGACGGUACCAGCAGAAGAAGCCCCGGCUAACUCCGUGCCAGCAGCCGCGGUAAUACGGAGGGGGCUAGCGUUGUUCGGAAUUACUGGGCGUAAAGCGCACGUAGGCGGAUUGGAAAGUUGGGGGUGAAAUCCCGGGGCUCAACCUCGGAACUGCCUCCAAAACUAUCAGUCUAGAGUUCGAGAGAGGUGAGUGGAAUUCCGAGUGUAGAGGUGAAAUUCGUAGAUAUUCGGAGGAACACCAGUGGCGAAGGCGGCUCACUGGCUCGAUACUGACGCUGAGGUGCGAAAGCGUGGGGAGCAAACA